Ameiurus melas (black bullhead) is the source of this 74-nucleotide non-coding RNA. NCBI's taxonomy places the organism in Eukaryota, Metazoa, Chordata, Actinopteri, Siluriformes, Ictaluridae. The record is from the annotation of a GenBank genome assembly.
GGCAGUGGUAGCUUAGUGGGUAAGGCUCUGGGUUAUUGAUAGGAAGGUUGGGGGUUCAAGCCCCAGCACUGCCA